This is a long non-coding RNA of Gallus gallus (chicken), 3071 nucleotides long. NCBI's taxonomy places the organism in Eukaryota, Metazoa, Chordata, Aves, Galliformes, Phasianidae. The record is from Ensembl.
AAACAAACAAACAAAACAAAACAAAAAAGUGAUGCAACAGCAAUUGCUUACCACCAGCUUACUGAUGCUUAGCCAUUCCCAGAUCAACAACAACCCCUUGCAAGCUCCCUUCCCUUCACUUAUACUGAAUGAGACAUUCCUUUGUUCAGUUUGGGUCAUCUAUCCAUGUUUUGUUCUCUCAGCUUCUUGCACACCCAAAAUUUACUUGCUGGACAGGAGGCAGACUGAGAAACAGAGAAAAUAUUGUUGAAGUGCAAACACUGUUCAGUAUUAGCUAAAAUGUAAAGACAGGGAAAGUUCAAAGAGAUAAAGAAAGAAAAUUUGCACCUGAGUUUCAGAAUAAUUAUAUUUCUGCAAGCUUUAUGAUUAGCUUUUUCUUGGUACUGCAAAAAAAAAAAAAAAAAGAGAGAGAAAAAUAAGAAAAGAAAAAAAAAGAAAAGAAAAGAAAAGAAAAGAAAAGAAAAGAAAAGAAGAGAAGAGAAGAGAAGAGAAGAGAAGAGAAGAGAAGAGAAGAGAAGAGAAGAGAAGAUAAAAGGUUAAUUUCGAAUGUGUACUCCUUUCAUUCUAAGUCAACAACAACAACAAAAUCUAUUUGAAAGGGCUAUUAAGAGGUCAUGGAGGCAAUAUUCUGCUGAAAGAGAAUUAACAGCAGUGGAACCAUAAAGCUGCUGCUCCUCCAGAGGAAGACAAGACUUUGAAAAUCACCUUGAAACUCAAUAAUAAAGAAAGGAGAGUAGAUAUCAAGAAGCUACAGUAUUCUGAGAAAUAAAAAGUGAUACUUUGUCCUUUGGUGAUGGUGGUAUGGCAGACAAGUGAAUGACAUUUUCUUUACCAUGGGCUACUAGAGACAGAAGAAAGGAUCUCUGCCCACCACUCUUCUGAGAAGCCACCCAAAUUAACUUAAUUCUGGUCAUUCAUGGUCAUUCAAGAGAAUAACUCCUAUCUCAUCUUAUCCCUCUGUGCUGCUUAAUAACAAAGGAUUAUGGAAUAAAUCCUGGAAUUCUGGCAUUUAACCCAAAAGACAUAAUAUGCUUAUUAUCUUACAGAAAGAUUUUUUUGUUUUUGUUUUUGUUUUGAGAACUGGCUGGAGUGGUCCAAAAUCAAAAAAUGAGGGUAACAGGUAGAACUGAGUAUCAGUGAUUCAAUACUCAGUCUACUUCAUCCUUUUUAUUUAAGAGUAUGUAUGCAUUCAGUAUUGUUCCUGAAGCUAUGAGAGAAAGAAAAAAAAUUAAUGAAAACUGUCUUCAUGAUUCAGUUUUUGACUUUUCCUGUAAAAUUUAUCUUCUCCAUCUACAUUUCAAAAAGGGGUUUAGAUAUGAUGACACACAGAGCUACAGUAUUUAAAUCUAGGGGCUGAUUUUCAAGAGCAGUAUUCACUAUGCAGUGUUUCUAACGUCUGAGAUAAUUAUAUUUUUUGGAAGAAGAGCACACAUGAAUGACACAAAAUCCAUCAUGUUCACAGAUGUCAAUUAGUCAAUAGAAAAAAAGACAAAAUGAAAAUGUAACUUCCACUUUUUCAGGUAUAUGGAAUUUUUUAACCCUUGUAAGAGGCAGAAUCCUUUUUGAUGUUAGUAAGAAUCCAGUUUCAUGAAUAUUUAUCUUAAGAAAAAUAUAAAACAAAGCAUUUGGGGUGUGGAAAGCUUUCAAAGUGUGAUCUUAUUCAUAAGACACAUAUCUAUGUUGAUUUUCAGAGAUUCUGAGCUGCUUCUAAUGAGUUUAAUGAUAUCUGUUGCUUCUGCAAUGAACAUGGGAGGUGUGAGUACAUACCUGUCUGUGGGUGAAGGAGAAAAGGGUUAAGUCAUCAUUCAUUCCUUGGAAUAAAGGAAGUCAUUUUAAAAUUUUCUGACAAGCCAAAAGUUGAAUGAUAGGCCUGAACCUGCCUAUUGAAAUGAAGAGUUCAACAGAAAUGCAGUCUUUCAUCAUCAUGAAAGAAAAAGAGGUUAUGAAAAAUUAUUUAUUGCUGCUAUGUUAUAGAAUCAUAGAUUCAUAGAAUAGCUUGGGUUGGAAGGGACCUUAAAGAGUAUUUAGUUGCAAGCACCCUGCUGUGGGCAGGUUUCCCAACAGGUGGUCCACAAUCCCAUCCAGCCUGACUUUGAACACCUCCAGGGAUGGGGCAUCCACAGCCUCUCUGGACAGUCUGUUCCAGUGGCUCACCGCCCUCUGAGUAAAAAAAAUCUCUUCCUAACAUCCAAUCAAAAUUUUCCCUCUUUAGUUUAAAACCAUUCCUCUUUGUCCUACCACUAUCUGACCAUGCAAAAAGUCAGCCAUGUUUCUUUGAUUCUGGGAAUUUAUGCAUUAUAUGUUAUAUGACAUUAAUUAUCAGUUUUGGAAGCCUGUCUUAAUGUUUGAAACAAAAAGAAAAUCUACUCACCUAGCCUCUGUAUUUCCCAAACUAAGGAAUACAUUAGAAAAGACACAAGAUUCUGUGAAAAACAGGAUGCAGAUGGGCAUCCCUGCUUCCUCUUAUCUGCUGGCAAGGCCCGGAAGAUGAUAACAAAGGAAUUUCUGCUGAGAUCCCAGAGGCAGUAGCUGCCACUCCAAGGAGAGCUGACUCAACCACUUUGGAUUCGAGCUGUCACUCAAAAGAGAGCUGACUCGACCACUUUGGACUUAUAAAUAAGUUUGUACUGCCAUCGUUGUCGUCAUCGCUGUGGUCACCAUUGUCAACAGAACACCAGAUGACCCACCACUACUGAAGAUCAAUGACUGAACUACGAACCACGUUGGACCAUGGUGGUGACUAUCUCCCUCCUGCUUCCUAUACGGACUCCUUGCUCCUAUUUCCUAUCUUUUCUAUCGCCCUUCUCCCCUUCCCCAUCUCCCUGAACGACUAGGAUUUGUAAUACACUGGUCAGACCAACAUUUGAACCGUUGUUUGUUAAUCUCAUGCCAGGUAUACACACAUCAAAGAACCUCAUCUCCCUCCGAUAAAUUGGAGAGAGACAAUCAUUUUAUGCUUUUACAGUAUCACAUUAAAAUAAAACAAAAGAAAACUUAUACUGUAUGGAAUGCUGAGGAUAGUCACAAAUAGUCUAUUUGUACUGGCUAGAAAUAAUAAAUACAGUAUUUCU